RNAcentral lists this ribosomal RNA (568 nucleotides) under Papiliotrema sp. DMKU-ESS15-3. RNAcentral describes it as "partial large subunit ribosomal RNA". It matches the Rfam family "Eukaryotic large subunit ribosomal RNA", at positions 100 to 657 of the family's 3401-position model. Lineage: Eukaryota; Fungi; Basidiomycota; Tremellomycetes; Tremellales; Rhynchogastremaceae. The record is from RNAcentral.
GGGAAGAGCUCAAAUUUGAAAUCUGGCGUCCUCAGGGCGUCCGAGUUGUAAUCUAUAGAGGCGUUUUCCGUGCCGGACCGUGUCCAAGUUCCUUGGAACAGGAUAUCAAAGAGGGUGACAAUCCCGUACUUGACACGACGACCGGUGCUCUGUGAUACGUCUUCUACGAGUCGAGUUGUUUGGGAAUGCAGCUCAAAAUGGGUGGUGAGUUCCAUCUAAAGCUAAAUAUUGGCGAGAGACCGAUAGCGAACAAGUACCGUGAGGGAAAGAUGAAAAGCACUUUGGAAAGAGAGUUAAACAGUACGUGAAAUUGUUGAAAGGGAAACGAUUGAAGUCAGUCGUGACCGAGAGGCUCAGCCGGUUCUGCCGGUGUAUUCCCCUCGGUCGGGUCAACAUCAGUUUUGUCCGGUGGAUAAGGGCGGUAGGAAGGUGGCACCCUCGGGUGUGUUAUAGCCUGCCGUCGCAUACAUCGGGUGAGACUGAGGAACGCAGCUCGCCUUUAUGGCCGGGGUUCGCCCACGUCCGAGCUUAUGAUGUUGACAUAAUGGCUUUAAACGACCCGUCUUGA